UUGACAGCGAACGAAGAUGAUAACUUUGAUUAUUUUUUAUUGAGAAUUAAGAACAAGGGACAUCCAAGCGCAGCACAUCUCUAAGGUUAUAAUAACUGGCUUGUGGCAGCCAAGCAUUCAUAGCGACGUUGGUUUUUGAUCCUUCGAUGUCGGCUCUUCCUAUUAUACUGAAGCAAAAUUCAGUAAGCGUUGGAUUGUUCACUCACUAAUACGGAACGUGAGCUGGGUUUAGGCCGUCGUGAGACAGGUUAGUUUUACCCUACUGAUGAAAUGUUCAUGCAAUAAUAGUAAUUGAACUUAGUACGAGAGGAACCGUUCAUUCGGAUAAUUGGUAUUUGGGCCUGCCUGAACAGGCAACGGCCCGAAUCUAUCGUCUGCUGAAUUAUGGCUGAACGCCUCUAAGGCAGAAGCUGUGCUAGAACGCGACGAUUACCGCCUUUCCCGAUACUUAGUUGAAUACGAAUAGAGCUUCGGCUCCUGAAUCAUGCUACGCGGGGUCAUCAUGCAGGGCGGAAAGGUCUUGUGUAGUGCCUGCUAAUGCUAAUUCCAAAGAUUGGAAGAGAUAAAUCCAUUGCAGACGACUUUAAUUGAACGGGCUAUUGUAAGCUGUAGAGUAGUCUUGUUGCUACAAUCAGCUGAGAUUAAGCCCACUGUUCUACAGAUUU
Molecule: non-coding RNA, 665 nt
Filed under: Lobosporangium transversale
Lineage: Eukaryota; Fungi; Mortierellomycota; Mortierellomycetes; Mortierellales; Mortierellaceae
Description: Eukaryotic large subunit ribosomal RNA
Rfam family: Eukaryotic large subunit ribosomal RNA
Source: Rfam by way of RNAcentral